This is a long non-coding RNA of Cyanistes caeruleus (blue tit), 1461 nucleotides long. RefSeq lists it as uncharacterized. The record is from RefSeq and is a predicted model, not a curated record. Lineage: Eukaryota; Metazoa; Chordata; Aves; Passeriformes; Paridae.
CCGAGGAUGGCUUUCUCCUCCUCCUCCCACUGCCUGUGAUGGGGGGUGGCUGCUGGGGAGCUUCUCCAGGGCUGGGGAAACUUCCCACACACUAAAGGCAGCGGCUUUGUGCAGGCCCAGGUGAGCCCAGGGAACAGCUGGACUGGCUGGUGGCUGGGAGGAGACCUGGAACAGCCCAGUCCUGGAGCUGGAGAGUGGGCAAAUGGCCCCGGGUGUGGGCAUGGAUCUGUUCUGCUCUGGGGCUGCAGGGUCCCCACAGUGAAGUGACACACGUGGGACCCUGUGUGGGCCUGAGUGAGGAGCAGCUGGCACUGGCCGUGCCCACGUGAGCCCUCUGUGGGGACAGCACAGCUCUGGGACGGCCCUUUGGCCACCUGGGACCAGGCAGUCCAAGCUGGCCACCCGCACACGGCCCUGUGUGUGGGAGAUGCUGCAGGAGGCCACCAGGACCUGAGGGCUCCGGGCCUGGCAGGGUCACCCUCCACCGGCGCUGCUCCCCAAACUGGAGCUGGCAACUGAAGCAGCUCCCAGGUUUGCCACGGGACAAAUGCAGCAGUGGCUGCUGGGCUUGGCCACUAAGCACAAGUGGUGGCUUCUCUUUCAAAUGACACAAGUUCUGUCCUCCUGUCUCUGCUCCCCCCUCAGCCUCCUGCCUGGCUCAGGCCCGCUGGAAGCAGCUGCCAGUCCACAAUUAACAGGCGCUAAUUGGGCUUCCAGGGGGGCUGCAGCUCAGCCUGCUCGGCCCAUUCACACUGGGAAUCCCAGAAUCACGAGGGGUUUGGGCUGGAGGGACCUUAAAGGCCAUGUCACCCCAUCCCCUGCACUGCCAGUGCCAGGUCCCCAGGUGCCACAUCUCAAACUCUGCCCGGAGAUCCAGGCACAGCCUUGUCCGAGGGGAGACCCCCUGUGCGCCCCUCAGAGCUGUCCUGGGACCCCGGCCCGUGGGAAGGAGCUUUGGGACACACCGGGGGCAGCAAAGGCUUCCACAGGCCCAAAUCCACAGGAGAGCCCUUGGAUCCCAAAACAGCCUCUGGAUGAGGAGCCCCGAGGGAUGCAGAUGUGGAUGCAGAUGUGGAUGUGGAUGCAGGAUGCUCCAGUCCCUGCUGCCCCCACCACCUGUGACCACCUGUGGCCUCAGCCUGCAGUGGGGGCUCCCCAGGUCACCAAGGAGAGGAACCAUCUCCACAGAGAGACACAGGGAGACAGCCCAAAAGUCGAGUCCCCAUGAGAGGGUUCUCUCCUGCACGGUGUCUGCAGAGGAACUUCACCUGAAGGCUUCUGCAGAGGAACCUCAGUGAAGCCUGUCAGACACAGGAUCCACCUGCCUUGGGGCGGGCCAGGGGGAUAAAUAUCACCUCCUCCCUGGUCCAGGAAUCACAGAAUCAUUAAAGUUGCAAAAGACCUCCAAGAUGGAGAGAAACUAUUUACAAGACCCUGGAGGGCCAGGAGCCAGGGAAUGGC